This 492-nucleotide ribosomal RNA is filed under the name uncultured bacterium. Its description in RNAcentral is "partial 16S ribosomal RNA". It matches the Rfam family "Bacterial small subunit ribosomal RNA", at positions 29 to 507 of the family's 1533-position model. The record is from RNAcentral.
AGUGAACGCUGGCGGCAGGCCUAACACAUGCAAGUCGAACGGCAGCACAGUAUUUGCUUGCUGUUACGCGUGGAGAGUGGUGGCCAGGUGGGGAAUACAACGGGAUCUAUUUUCCCGUGAGGGGUGUCGAAGGGUAACUUACGCUAUUAAAGCCCCCGAACUACGGGUGAAAGCAGGGGAUCUUCGGAAAUUGCGCGCUUGAGUGAGCCGAUGUCGGCUUAGCCAGUUGGCGGGGUAAAGGCCCAACAAGCUGACGAUCCGUAGCCGGGCUGAGAGGAUGAUCAGCCACACUGGAACUGAGACACGGUCCAGACUCCUACGGGAGGCAGCAGUGGGGAAUAUUGGACAAUGGGCGCAAGCCUGAUCCAGCCAUACCGCGUGGGUGAAGAAGGCCUUCGGGUUGUAAAGCCCUUUUGUUGGGAAAGAAAAGCAGCAGGUUAAUACCCCGCUGUUCUGACGGUACCCAAAGAAUAAGCACCGGCUAACUUCGUG